GAAUGUGUUUCCUCUGCAUAAGCAUACAGUGCAAUGCACAGCAAUAGUGAUCUCCCAAAUUAGAACACUUGCCACUUUAGGGAUUCCGGCCUUUAUUUUCAAGCCUCUCUGGAGCUGUGGAAGAAGGCUCAGUUAUGAAUCUCAGGAGAGUCCUCGAGGAACACUCAGAGAAUGAUAUUGACAGCUGGGGAGCAGCGAGGAAGCUGUUGUAGGCAUCCACGUGGAAGUCAAUUGACCUGAACAGGGAGAGUGGCCCAGAAACAGAAGCAAGCUGAUUCUCAGGACAUGCUUGCAUUGGUCAAGAGCAGGGAGACUGUCGGCUUCCAGUCUUUUGGCCUGGUGGAGAAAGAAGGAAGCCGAGGGUACAGCUGAGGGAAUGCCAAUGUCGCAGGAACAGGUGUUCAGAAAGAAAUUGCUCCGUGACGCUUUUUGCAGCUCAGUGAGGAAGACUAUUCAGGGCCAUCUCCAUAGGGUUAGGGACUACUGUAACAGGGUCCUGCAGCGCGGGAGAGAGACCGGACUCAACUCUUCAUACAGCCUGGGCAAGUGGGGAUUUAUAGUAAAGGAGCAGGUUUGGGUCAGUGGAUGGAAAAUGGCUGAGGAGACAUCAGGGGUCUCUGCCCCCUCUCCCCUCGCCAGGCUGUGGGAGCUGGAAAACAACAGCCCUGUCCGUUGGCAUCCACUGUAUCCCAGCACCCACUCUAUCCCAGCACCCGCUCUAUCCCAGCACCCACUGUAUCCCAGCACCCACUUCAUCCCAGCAC
RNAcentral lists this long non-coding RNA (764 nucleotides) under Homo sapiens (human). RNAcentral's name for it is "non-protein coding lnc-FOXQ1-13:1". Lineage: Eukaryota; Metazoa; Chordata; Mammalia; Primates; Hominidae. The record is from RNAcentral.